CUAGAUAAUAGUAUCAUCUUCUUCUUCUUAAUAAAAACUGCCAUGGCUGCCGUUUUCAUUUAUUUUUCAUUCCAUCAGCUUUACAGAACAUUGGUUCUUCUUUUUUCUUCCUCACAUCUUCUUAUUAAAUGUGUAUCUUCUUUAUUUCCCUUCUCAUGAGUUCUUUUCUUCUCUUUAGUGGUGCAAAAGUAAAAUUUUAGGGGGUUCAAAGUGCAAAAAUACAUAGAAUUUAGGUACAUUUUUCUUAAGUUCAGGGGGUUCAGUUGAACCCCCUCGCUACAACGUGGCGACGCC
RNAcentral lists this long non-coding RNA (294 nucleotides) under Trifolium pratense (red clover). RNAcentral's name for it is "long non-coding RNA (TPRA_LNC005775)". Lineage: Eukaryota; Viridiplantae; Streptophyta; Magnoliopsida; Fabales; Fabaceae. The record is from RNAcentral.